Long non-coding RNA from Etheostoma spectabile (orangethroat darter), 115 nucleotides. RefSeq lists it as uncharacterized. The record is from RefSeq and is a predicted model, not a curated record. The transcript is spliced from 3 exons. NCBI's taxonomy places the organism in Eukaryota, Metazoa, Chordata, Actinopteri, Perciformes, Percidae.
GUUGGGUUUAGGAAAAGAAGAACAGGGUUGGCUUUAGUAAAUGAAGAAAGUGAGUGUUAAGUUUUGGAAACGUGGCACACAGGACACGAAGGAAACGUGCCACACAGGACACGAU